UGCUGUUGUUAAGCUCCUAAAAUGAUUUACGGGAGAUAAACAGAAAGAGCAAGAGUCUAGUUUCAUUAAUAAUUUGGAUCGAUUGUUUGACAUUGCUCGACGAGCUGCAUUAAAUUUUAUUAAAACCGAAGGGGAGUUGGGGGAAGUUGUAAGGCCUGGAUCUGCCUUUGCGAGAGUUAAGAAAGGCAAAAUCGAAGAACCAACCAAGAACCAACAACGGAACCAGAGCCUUCCUUGGAAUCUCAAUCAGCUACCAGCGUUUUUACUAUUGAUAGAGGAGAUGAGAAACCCUCCACUAGUAGAGCGUUUUCCGAGCGAAGUAAAUCAAAAAUAAUGACUCCUAUACUAGCUGCCACCCUAGACCGUAUUGGACUAAGCGACCGAAAUGCAAUGUAUGUUAUUUCUUCGGUUUUAACAAGUGCUGGACUAAACUUAGACGAUUUUACCGUUAGCAGACAAACAAUCUCAAGGGCCCGUGCAGAAUAUCGCGAAGAGAUUGCUUAAAAUAUCCAAAGCAAUUUUGAUCUAAAUGGACCACUUGUUGUACAUUGGGAUGAAAAGCUGCUUCAAGAUCUCACAGGUACUGACAAAGUAGAAAGAUUGCCAGUUUUGGUAUCUUCUGGAGCAAAUGUUCAGCUGCUUGGAGUCCCAAAAUUGUCUUCUGGAACUGGUGAAAGACAGGCAAACGAAGUUUGCAAAUUUAUGAAUGCAUGGGAACUAAGCGAUCGCAUCUGUGCAAUUGAAUUUGAUACAACAGCAGCAAAUACAGGAAUUAAAAAAAGCGCUUCUACCCUAAUCGAGAAGCGGAUUGGCAGUGAUUUUUUAUGGCUGGCGUGUAGGCAUCAUAUUGCCGAAGUUUUGAUGACAGCAGCUUGGGAAAAACUAUUUCCUUCAAAAGGCCCUUCUUCAAGUAUUUUUAUAAAAUUUAAAUCGGCAUGGCCUACUAUGGAUCAAUCCUUUGAUGAAAAUAUGGUAGACGAAAACAUUAUUGAGAUCCUUGGU
This is a long non-coding RNA of Armigeres subalbatus, 1002 nucleotides long. RefSeq lists it as uncharacterized. NCBI's taxonomy places the organism in Eukaryota, Metazoa, Arthropoda, Insecta, Diptera, Culicidae. The transcript has 4 exons. The record is from RefSeq and is a predicted model, not a curated record.